RNAcentral lists this ribosomal RNA (547 nucleotides) under uncultured organism. RNAcentral's name for it is "bacterial SSU rRNA". It matches the Rfam family "Bacterial small subunit ribosomal RNA", at positions 51 to 564 of the family's 1533-position model. The record is from RNAcentral.
AGACAUGCAAGUCGAACGGUAAGGCCGUUUCUGAUCCUUCGGGUGAAGAAAAGGUACACGAGUGGCGAAGGGCGAGGAAUACUUGGGUACGUCCCGGGGCGACGGGAUAGCUGUGGGAAACCGCAGGUUAUACCUGAUAAGACCACAGUUCCUACGGGAACAGCGGUCAAACGGUGGGGACCUUCGGGCCUACCGGCCUGUGAGCGGCCCAAGUCCUAUCAGCUUGUUGGUGAGGUAACGGCUCACCAACGCAACGACGGGUACCGGGACUGAGAGGUUGGUCCGGCGCAUUGGGACUGAGACACUGCCCAGACUCCUGCGGGAAGCUGCAGUAACGAAUAUUGGACAAUGGGCGCAAGCCUGAUCCAGCGACGCCGCGUGCAGGAUGAAGUCCUUCGGGAUGUAAACUGCUGUCAGGGAUCAGCAAGCAAUACCGGCUAAUAUCCGGUUGCGUUGAGGACUCCCAGAGGAAGCCACGGCUAACUUCGUGCCAGCAGCCGCGGUAAGACGAAGGUGGCGAGCGUUGUUCGGAAUCACUGGGCUUAAA